RNAcentral lists this ribosomal RNA (253 nucleotides) under uncultured bacterium. Its description in RNAcentral is "partial 16S ribosomal RNA". It matches the Rfam family "Bacterial small subunit ribosomal RNA", at positions 524 to 776 of the family's 1533-position model. The record is from RNAcentral.
GACGAACCGUCCAAACGUUAUUCGGAAUUACUGGGCUUAAAGGGUGCGUAGGCGGCGCGGAAAGUAGGGUGUGAAAUCCCUCGGCUUAACCGAGGAACUGCGCCCUAAACUACCGUGCUUGAGGGAGAUAGAGGUGAGCGGAACUUAGGGUGGAGCGGUGAAAUGCGUUGAUAUCCUAAGGAACACCGGUGGCGAAAGCGGCUCACUGGAUCUCUUCUGACGCUGAGGCACGAAAGCUAGGGUAGCGAACGGG